This 253-nucleotide unclassified non-coding RNA is filed under the name uncultured Pirellulaceae bacterium. RNAcentral's name for it is "contains 16S-23S intergenic spacer region". It matches the Rfam family "Bacterial small subunit ribosomal RNA", at positions 524 to 776 of the family's 1533-position model. Lineage: Bacteria; Pseudomonadati; Planctomycetota; Planctomycetia; Pirellulales; Pirellulaceae. The record is from RNAcentral.
UACGAACCGUCCAAACGUUAUUCGGAAUUGUUGGGCUUAAAGGGUGCGUAGGCGGCGUGUUAAGUCGGGUGUGAAAUCCCAGGGCUCAACCCUGGAACUGCGCCCGAUACUGGCAUGCUUGAGGGAGACAGAGGUAAGCGGAACUGAUGGUGGAGCGGUGAAAUGCGUUGAUAUCAUCAGGAACACCAGUGGCGAAAGCGGCUUACUGGGUCUCUUCUGACGCUGAGGCACGAAAGCUAGGGGAGCAAACAGG